This 204-nucleotide unclassified non-coding RNA is filed under the name Hevea brasiliensis (rubber tree). Lineage: Eukaryota; Viridiplantae; Streptophyta; Magnoliopsida; Malpighiales; Euphorbiaceae. The record is from RNAcentral.
UGGGGAGGACAGGGAACUGGGGAUCCAGACCCGAAGCUGACUUCACGAUCCACGAUGUAGGGUCCUGAGUCACAUUGUCCAAAAAUCUUCGCAGUGUCAUGACCAUAUGAUCCUCGUGGUUGCUGGAGACAACCCUUAAUCCACGGAUGAUCUAGAACUUGUGCAGCUGUGAGUCUUUGAGCAGGAUCCCUGCAUAGCAUUCCA